This 676-nucleotide ribosomal RNA is filed under the name uncultured bacterium. Its description in RNAcentral is "bacterial SSU rRNA". It matches the Rfam family "Bacterial small subunit ribosomal RNA", at positions 8 to 694 of the family's 1533-position model. The record is from RNAcentral.
AGAGUUUGAUCCUGGCUCAGGACGAACGCUGGCGGUGUGCUUCACACAUGCAAGUCGAGCGAAUGAAGAAGGUAGCUUGCUACUUUUGGAUUUAGCGGCGGACGGGUGAGUAAUAUAUAGGAAUCUGCCCUAGAGCGGGGAACAACAGACCGAAAGGUUUGCUAAUGCCCCAUAGGUACGCAGUCUUCGGAUUGUUUAUUAAAGGAGUAAUCCACUCUAGGAUGAGCCUGUAUCCGAUUAGCUAGUUGGCGGGGUAAAGGCCCACCAAGGCUACGAUCGGUAGUUGGUCUGAGAGGAUGAUCAGCCACAAUGGGACUGAGACACGGCCCAUACUCCUACGGGAGGCAGCAGUGGGGAAUUUUACAUAAUGGGGGAAACCCUGAUGUAGCGACACCGCGUGAACGAAGAAGCCUUUUGGGGUGUAAAGUUCUGUCGGCUGGAACGAAAAAAAUGACGGUACCAGCAAAGGAAGCAUCGGCUAACUACGUGCCAGCAGCCGCGGUAAGACGUAGGAUGCAAGCGUUGUCCGGAUUUAUUGGGCGUAAAGAGUUCGUAGGCGGUUAUUUAAGUCUGGUGUUAAAUACUGUGGCCCAACCACAGAACUGCAUUGGAUACUGGAUGACUUGAGUGCGGUAGAGGCGAGUGGAAUUCCCAGUGUAGCGGUGAAAUGCGUAGA